CAACCAUAAAAUUGCCAUUGAAACUGGGAGACUUGAGUAUGUUUGAGGUAGGCGGAAUGCGUGGUGUAGCGGUGAAAUGCAUAGAUAUCACGCAGAACUCCGAUUGCGAAGGCAGCUUGCCAAGCCAUAACUGUCACUGAAGCACGAAAGCGUGGGUAUCAAACAGGAUUAGAUACCCUGGUAGUCCACGCAGUAAACGAUGAUUACUAGGAGUUUGCGAUAAAAUGUAAGCUCUACAGCGAAAGCGUUAAGUAAUCCACCUGGGGAGUACGCCGGCAACGGUGAAACUCAAAGGAAUUGACGGGGGCCCGCACAAGCGGAGGAACAUGUGGUUUAAUUCGAUGAUACGCGAGGAACCUUACCCGGGUUUGAACGCAGUCCGACCGCCGAUGAAAGUCGGCUUCUAGCAAUAGCGGAUUGCGAGGUGCUGCAUGGUUGUCGUCAGCUCGUGCCGUGAGGUGUCGGCUUAAGUGCCAUAACGAGCGCAACCCUUGCCGUUAGUUACUAACAAGUUAUGUUGAGGACUCUAGCGGGACUGCCAGCGUAAGCUGUGAGGAAGGCGGGGAUGACGUCAAAUCAGCACGGCCCUUACAUCCGGGGCGACACACGUGUUACAAUGGCGUGGACAAAGAGCAGCCACUUGGCGACAAGGAGCUAAUCUCCAAACCACGUCUCAGUUCGGAUCGGAGUCUGCAACUCGACUCCGUGAAGCUGGAUUCGCUAGUAAUCGCGCAUCAGCCAUGGCGCGGUGAAUACGUUCCCGGGCCUUGUACACACCGCCCGUCAAGCCAUGGGAGCCGGGGGUACCUGAAGUCCGUAACCGCGAGGAUCGGUCUAGGGUAAAACUGGUGACUGGGGCUAAGUCGUAACAAGGUAACCA
RNAcentral lists this ribosomal RNA (880 nucleotides) under uncultured bacterium. RNAcentral describes it as "bacterial SSU rRNA". It matches the Rfam family "Bacterial small subunit ribosomal RNA", at positions 610 to 1502 of the family's 1533-position model. The record is from RNAcentral.